GACCAAUUUUCCCAAACAAGAGAAUUAUUUAAAGGAAACAUUUUAGCAGACUGUUGAACCUCAUACCAACCUUCUUCCAAACAUUCCGUUUUCACUGUAUGUAUACUUUUCAACUCCGUAUCCAACAACCUCGCUGUAAUGCAAGUGCUAUUACGAUUGGUAAAUUGAACCAAUACACUAGAGGUAUUGACCCAGAGUACAUUUUGAACGACUGGUUCUGCCAAAGGUUCGUUAUGCCACAGUGAAAAAUUAGAGGAAGCGUUAGAAUUAAGGUCAGCGACAAACAAAGAAACAGAAGGAUUCGGAUUACCUGGCUUUGGAUAUUUAAUUGCCAUGUCCUUGUUAUAAUCAAAUUCCGGCAAACUGGGAUCUAGCUCAGCGGUGUAUAAAGGAUAGUGAUAAGUAGGGAUCUCUGAUUCAUUUAGCUUAAGAAAAGCAAUUUUAUCUGAAUCCGGAGACCACCAAAUCGUUGAAGGACUGGAAAGUACUUCUUCUUCAUAAAUCCAAUCUGUCAACCCAUUAAAUACGUCAACGGUACCGUCAUAAGUAAGUCUUUGAACAUUUCCAUCGUUUUUUCGAACAUACAAAUCAUUAUUAUAGACGAAGGAAAGUUGAUGACCAGUAGGUGACCAUUCCGCAAGGCUUAUAGUCCAAUGCUCGUUGUCCUGACCCAGCAUAUUGACAUCCUUAGUUUCGGUAUUAUAAAGAUAAUAUUGUGCAAAUGAUGAAUGUCUCCACCGUUGAGACUUAUUGACCGAGACUAACACGUACUUUGCGUCAAAAGAUAUAGAAUAACUGUCAUAAUCGAGCUGGAUUCCAUUAUACACUAAAUCUGAAACCGAGAACAGAGUUUUGUUAAGAUU
Molecule: non-coding RNA, 863 nt
Organism: Schizosaccharomyces pombe (fission yeast)
Lineage: Eukaryota; Fungi; Ascomycota; Schizosaccharomycetes; Schizosaccharomycetales; Schizosaccharomycetaceae
Source: the annotation of a GenBank genome assembly